Molecule: ribosomal RNA, 301 nt
Filed under: uncultured bacterium
Lineage: Bacteria
Description: partial 16S ribosomal RNA
Rfam family: Bacterial small subunit ribosomal RNA
Source: RNAcentral
CAGCCGCCGCGGUAAAACGAAGGGGGCUAGCGUUGCUCGGAAUGACUGGGCGUAAAGGGCGCGCAGGCGGUUUGUUAAGACAGAUGUGAAAUCCCCGGGCUCAACCUGGGAACUGCAUUUGUGACUGGCAAGCUAGAGUGUGGCAGAGGGGGGUGGAAUUCCGCGUGUAGCAGUGAAAUGCGUAGAUAUGCGGAGGAACACCGAUGGCGAAGGCAGCCCCCUGGGCCAACACUGACGCUCAUGCACGAAAGCGUGGGGAGCAAACAGGAUUAGAUACCCCGGUAGUCCCUGUCUCUUAUAC